This is a non-coding RNA of Pimephales promelas (fathead minnow), 1765 nucleotides long. The record is from RefSeq and is a predicted model, not a curated record. Lineage: Eukaryota; Metazoa; Chordata; Actinopteri; Cypriniformes; Leuciscidae.
UACAGAUACCGAUUAGGAGAGGUGUGGAAAAUAAUGUAGCUCCAAAAGAGCAAACAAGCCGGAUACACUAACCUGGAAAGAGAAUAAGUAAUGUUAUUUUAUUUUAUAGAUGGAUUUACUGGAGGAGAUCAGUGUUUUUGCGCACCCUGCUGGACUAGUUUCGAACACAAUGACGUCACCUGUGGAACAAAACAGAUCUGAGAUCAGGCUCAGAGGACGACAGGUAACGCGAACACCUGAACACUAAUGGAGGAAACUGUGAUCAAAUACAGACACUGUGGAAGCGAUGUGUACAGUUUCUCCUCGUAUUCUCAGUGUCAGUGUCCGAUCUGUCAUCAGACUCCAACUUUCGGACUGUUAAACGCGCCGGUCGCGCUUUCCUGCCCGUUUACUAAUGGACACAAAAUCUCAUGUGCGUUUCUGAUAGGAUCUAUUCACGGACCAUCAUAUAUUGGAGAAUGGAGUGACACUGAGAUACACGUGGGUCUUUCAAACUCAGAAGGUCUGGUCUACAACUACACCCUGUCCGGGGUCCGCAGAGAUGCUGGCGGCUGGGAACGGUGUGUUUGUGUGUGUGUGUGUGCCCAGCUCGCGAGAUCAUGGGACGCUGAGCUGGAGAAGUUCUCUGUGCUUCCAGACUGGACUUCAGAACGGUUCGAGGAGGAGCGCGUGUUCGGCUCCUGCUGUUACGGGUUCGCUCUGAGCUUUAUAAACCACAUGCUCUCGCGGAUCGGCCAGCAGCCGCUGAGCAGAGACCAGUUCACCCAACGACACGUCUUACCCCGGAUCAAGGCGGUUUCUCAGUACAUCAGCAUCUAUCAUGCGAUAUCACAACAUGGGUUUUACACCGUGAACGCACCCGAUGACGUGUGAUGCACGUUUCCUCAUAAAACGCUAUAUAAGCCUAUUAUAUCCCUGCUCUUCAUGAAUGUAUUAAAACACAUGGUGUUCUUAGAGAACGCUAGGGUUCUUGAUUCAAUAUUAAAGAACACUUAAAGGUUCCAAAAGAAGGUUUUCGCAUAUAAGAACCAUUGCUUCCCAACAGAGGCGUUCAGUCACCCGUUCUUAGGCUAGAGCCCUGUGUGCGAUUGAGAGAUUCCCUGGAUGUUAAAGGCUCUUCAUGGAAUAAAGAAGCUUUAUUUUAAGAGUGAAGGAGAAGUGUCUUAUAUUGCAUAAUACUUAUAUGUUUAAAUGUACACUGUGUUUUUUUGUUUUUUUUUGUAAUUAACAAGAUUUAAAUAAUGACUCAAUACAUAAUGUUUGUGUGUGUGUGUGUGUGAACAGAGGAGAGUCUGCUGGAGAAACGAGAAUGAGACAGAGCUCGUAAUAAAACAAGAAUCAACAUCAAAUCGACCUCGCUUGACUGCUACGCUGAUCUAACCACUGACUGAUACAACAGCAACACAACACUUGAGAAUGAUCACGACUCCGAUCACCAUCCAAUCACAGCCCACACUCACAUGCAUCAGACCAUACGAAUAAUAAACUCUAAAUUGAGAAUCAAUUAUUCUUUUCAGACAAAUCAUUGUUUGAUUUGUGAACAGAAGCAUCUGCUGUCUAGUUGCUACCGGUUCGAGCCGGACUCGCGCUAACGGCAAAUACCUUCUACUGUCCGGCUGGGUUUUGAUUUCAAAUCAUUUUUGGCGAAAUCAGACGAUGCAAAUAUUGUUCAUGAGUUUAACAUCCAGCCAUGCAAGAAAACAUGAAAUCUUCCUGAGGGAAUGAUAUGCUGAUGUGAUUUCCUAACCAAUAAACAUUUCUAAUU